GUCUCUGGCCAUGCUACCCUGAACAAGCCCAAUCCCGUCUGUUCUCAGAAGCUAAGCAGGGUCAGACCUGGUUAGUACUUGGAUGGGAGACCACCUAGGAAGACCUGGUGCUGUAGGCA
This 119-nucleotide ribosomal RNA is filed under the name Pteropus alecto (black flying fox). The record is from RNAcentral. Lineage: Eukaryota; Metazoa; Chordata; Mammalia; Chiroptera; Pteropodidae.